RNAcentral lists this long non-coding RNA (201 nucleotides) under Prunus dulcis (almond). Its description in RNAcentral is "sRNA ncRNA". The record is from RNAcentral. Lineage: Eukaryota; Viridiplantae; Streptophyta; Magnoliopsida; Rosales; Rosaceae.
AUGGAAACUUGCAAAUAUAAAGAGAAUAAAAAGGGAGAAAAUUCAGAAAAGCCUAGCAUACCUUCCUCAUUAGUAUCAUUACCCUCUGGGGUACUAGUGCUAGUUGGCGCUGAUUCUUCAGGCACAGAAGCAGGUGGAGCCGAUGCAGGCAAAUUAUUCUCUGCUUUCUUAUGAAAUAGAGAAGCAAAAACCUCCAUGUGA